UUCUUCUUAAUGAGCUUAGAUGGAUGCAACUGGAUUGGUCCAAAGACUCAACCAGGAAAAUGAUACCAAAGAAUGAAUUGAAUGAUUGUUUAGUUCAAAUGUAAAUGAAUUGAAUGUUUCAUUUUCUUCUUAAGAUAUGAAUUUUUGCAUGGUCAACAAGGAUAUAUAUGUGUAUCAAAUUGUUGCUGCAUAUAUAUGAAUUUCUGCUAGCCAUCCUAGCUCGGAAAAUAUUAGUGUACAUCCAAUUGUUCCCACUUGACUUAGAGAAAAGGCCCAUUUGGUUUUAGGGGAUAGUGAUUGAGGGUUUUUGUUAUAUAUCUGUUGUGUUCAAUUUUGUUGUUAGUUUAGAAGCAGUUAUUCUCCCACGUUUAAUCUUCCCACGUUUUCCAAGAUCAAAAUACUGAACUCCCUAUUCUAGAGUCUAGACCGUGCAGAAACCAGUUAUUGGUAAGCAGAAGACGAUCUCCUCAAGGAGAAGUUCGCCAACAGAAAAAGGUAUGGUUUACUUCUAUCAAAUUGUUGACUUUGAUGAGGGUUUCAACUUUUCUUUUCCUUCUUCGUGUAGUUCUCGAAGAUAGGGGGUCUUGGUAAAUAAAAAACAUAUUGCAGAGGGAGAAGAGAUGGAAGACUAAAUCGGUUAGGUACCUAAUCAUGUUAUCUCUACGUUUGAUGUUAAAGGGAAGCAGAUGGGCAUGCUUAGUAUGAAGGAGAAGAAUUCGUUUUUAACACAUAAGGACAACUGAGAUCAUAUUCUUCACUUACGAAUAAUCAGUGGAAGCUUUCAGUUUUGGGGUUUUGGAUAUAUUUUGGUUCUAGGUCUGGAGAUAGUAAUAUAAUGUUUUCGUUUCAUAUUUUUCCUUCCGUUGAUUUACAAUUUGUAAUGGUGCAUGAGAUUUUGGUUAUAGCAAGCGGCUUGCGAUUUCAUCCCUCCUUAUGAACUCUCCUUUUUUUGUUUUUUUCCUUUUUUUUUCCGGUCGCCAAGUGGGAACAAGACAUAUUAUGAUUUCAGGAAACCAGGUGAUUCAAUUUACUAAUCCAAUCGUUUUCAUACUUUUUGCUUUUGUCUUUAUUUUUUGUUGCCGUUUAGGCCUCUGUAUAUUUGUUAAGGUCUUUUUGGUGAGAUUCUGCUUUACCACUUUAAGAAUUUUGGUUAUUGGUUUUGCUGCUUUGGUCAUCUUAAUUAUUGAAUGAUUUUGAAUCCGAGUCUAACGAUUGAAUCAUUGUCAUCCAUAUACAAUACUAAUAAUGGACUUGCUGACUAAGCGGGUAUUCGAUGUGUUCUUGGUCAUUUACUUAUGGGUAAUUCAUGCUAGAGGGAUUGAUUUAUAAUUUUUGUAGGUGUUAAUAAUCUCUUUGUUCUAAAUGUAUGGACAUAAACUUUUGAGCCAAAGAUGAUUGAACAUGAAUACUGACAGGGAUCAAAGUUUUUGCCAAACUUUGAAAAAUCUAAGGUGUUUUCAUUGCUUGGAAUUAUUGUCAUAUUUUGAUUCGAUGCAACCCAAAAGUCUGGAGAACUGUAGCUUUGUGGUUUGAUGCUUUGUUUUGUUAAUUUUAAUUGAUGGUUGAGCUGCGUAAAAAAUAUUGAUAGAGAACAAUUAAUGGAAGAUUACUUAUCUCUUUGUGCUUGAUACUCAUAACUUUCUUUGGCGAUUUCUUUUUCUCUCAAAUAAAAAAAGAAGGGUGUUUUUGUUGGUGAAUGUUUUGGAGUUUAAUUAGAAAAGCGAUCUGUUUUAUGUUUUAUACCAUUAUCAUUCUUGGGUCUAAGCUGUUGUCCAAACAUGUUACUAAGAGUUAUAUUCUUGCAGACUUUCAGUACACCAAUUUCUCAACUAGAAAGGCUUACCAUGAUCUAGCAAUUUCCACCAUGUACGUCAUUACUUGAACUUUAAAUUUUCAUGCGGACAUUCUAUAUGGUUUUUCAUCUGAUGAUCAUUAGUAUGGUUGUUGAUUGUACUACCUCACAUUUGAGGUUUUCCACCUAUUGUUCAGGUAACAAUAGGUAAACCCGUUGAGUUGUCAGGUUAGUCAAUAUUUCUCUUUUUGUUAUUCAAAUCUCUACAUUUGGAUACUACUGUCCUAUUUGCUUACUUUCUUGGUUCAGAUUUCAUUGUGUUUCCAAUGAUAAUUAUUGGCAAGAUUCUAUUAGUUUUCAUGUCAUGUUUCACUGAGUUGGAUGUGCGAGUAGUUUAGAAUUAAUGGUUUUUAUUACUUGCGGUAUUAAUAAUGUGCAACAAAGUAUCUUAGAGCAUUAUAUAUGGUUAAUGACUUUAGCUUAUGAUAUGAUAGCACUGACCCAUUUUAUAUGUACUGUUAAACAUGCUGUAUUUGUUUUCUUUUUCAUACCUCCUGUGAGAUAUUAUAGUAAUUUGCAACAUGUUGGAUUGGCUAUAAGACGAGACAUUGAGGAAUGCAGUUGCAAAGUUUAAGGGGAAGAAAUGAAGACAAUAGGUUUUUGUUUAUUCAAUCAUGCUUAAGUGGAGAUUGUAGUUACUAACUUCAGUAGGUAUUGAGCUUUUAGGUGGCAAUUAGACAUGUUUGACAAAUGUACUCUUUUAUUUUUUGUUUUUAGGUUAGUAUUUUCUCUCGUACUAUUCUAAUGUCAUGGAUGAUGUUUUUUUAUCUAUGUAUUAAGACUAUGUAGUUUGCAUUCAAUCAAUUA
Long non-coding RNA from Rosa rugosa (rugosa rose), 2659 nucleotides. RefSeq lists it as uncharacterized. The transcript has 3 exons. NCBI's taxonomy places the organism in Eukaryota, Viridiplantae, Streptophyta, Magnoliopsida, Rosales, Rosaceae. The record is from RefSeq and is a predicted model, not a curated record.